Long non-coding RNA from Mus musculus (house mouse), 13395 nucleotides. RefSeq annotates it as predicted gene 20642. The record is from RefSeq and is a predicted model, not a curated record. Lineage: Eukaryota; Metazoa; Chordata; Mammalia; Rodentia; Muridae. The transcript has 3 exons.
GUGUGUGUGUGUGUGUGUGUGCCUGAAUGAAUGUAUGUAUGUACAUGGCAUGUGUGCAAAUAUCUGCAGAUGUCAGGACAGCGCAUCAAAUUCCCUUGGAACUAGAGUUACAGGUGGUUAGAAGCUGCCAUAUAGGUCUGGGAAUCAAGCCCAGGUGCUCUGAGUAAGCAUCAAGUGCUCUUAACUGCUGAGUCAUUUCUCCCGACACCCAAAUCUACCUAAUAAUCAAUAUGUGGUUUCCAAAAUGAUAUGCUGCUAGAAUCUCACCAUUUAUAAAUAAAAGUGGUCAACAGAGUUUCUUUUUUUUUUUUUUUUUUUUUUUUUUUUCUGUCAAAAUUCCCUCAGGUAGUUGCUGAGCUUUGCGAUUGCAUUUUGAUGAGACUGGAUUGACAUCGGUUUGAGAUAGGGUUGAGACUGGGUAUUUACUGCAAAAUUACAUUCCUUGUGGUCAGUGUCGACUACAGGUAAAUUAAUGCUAUCCAUCACCCAUAGGGCUACAGUAGAAAAGUAAGCUACAAAGAAUAAAAUCAAGACUCACUUCAUAUUAUCUACUAGGGUCAGGGAAAUCCAUCCUUCACUAGGUAAACUUUACAAGUAAUUCAAAUGUCACUUAAGUUUGCAAAUCACUGUGAAGAGAUAGGCCAUGGAGUUUCCAUAAAAGGACAAGGGAAAUGAAAAUUGGUUGAAUGACAGAGAUAAGACAGAUGAUAGUUAAAGCUUGAAUUCUGUGUCCAUGACAACUUUUUGAUCCUUGUGGGUUCAUCUGAGUGAAGUUUGUGUGUUAAGAGUGUUAGAGUCCUUUACCCUAAUCAUUACAAGAAGAGCAAAAUAUAAAUCAUCAUUUCCAGUCAUUGCAUAUAAAACCACUGUCACGUGUUGGGGCAUCUUCUGGAUAUAUGCCCAGGAGAGGUAUUGCUGGAUCCUCCGGUAGUACUAUGUCCAGUUUUCUGAGGAACCGCCAGACUGAUUUCCAGAGUGGUUGUACAAGCCUGCACUCCCACCAACAAUGGAGGAGUGUUCCUCUUUCUCCACAUCCUCGCCAGCAUCUGCUGUCACCUGAAUUUUUGAUCUUAGCCAUUCUGACUGGUGUGAGGUGGAAUCUCAGGGUUGUUUUGAUUUGCAUUUCCCUGAUGAUUAAGGAUGUUGAACAUUUUUUCAAGUGCUUCUCUGCCAUUCGGUAUUCCUCAGGUGAGAAUUCUUUGUUCAGUUCUGAGCCCCAUUUUUUAAUGGGGUUAUUUGAUUUUCUGAAGUCCACCUUCUUGAGUUCUUUAUAUAUGUUGGAUAUUAGUCCCCUAUCUGAUUUAGGAUAGGUAAAGAUCCUUUCCCAAUCUGUUGGUGGUCUUUUUGUCUUAUUGACGGUUCAUAGCAGCCUUAUUUAUAAUAGCCAGAAGCUGGAAAGAACCUAGAUGCCCCUCAACAGAGGAAUGGAUACAGAAAAUGUGGUACAUCUACACAAUGGAGUACUACUCAGCUAUUAAAAAGAAUGAAUUUAUGAAAUUCCUAGCCAAAUGGAUGGACCUGGAGGGCAUCAUCCUGAGUGAGGUAACACAUUCACAAAGAAACUCACACAAUAUGUAUUCACUGAUAAGUGGAUAUUAGCCCCAAACCUAGGAUACCCAAGAUAUAAGAUAUAAUUUGCUAAACACAUGAAACUCAAGGAGAAUGAAGACUGAAGUGUGGACACUAUGCCCCUCCUUAGAUUUGGGAACAAAACACCCAUGGAAGGAGUUACAGAGACGGAGUUUGGAGCUGAGAUGAAAGGAUGGACCAUGUAGAGACUGCCAUAGCCAGGGAUCCACCCCAUAAUCAGCAUCCAAACGCUGACACCAUUGCAUACACUAGCAAGAUGUUAUUGAAAGGACGCAGAUGUAGCUGUCUCUUGUGAGACUAUGCCGGGGCCCAGCAAACACAGAAGUGGAUGCUCACAGUCAGCUAAUGGAUGGAUCAUAGGGCUCCCAAUGGAGGAGCUAGAGAAAGUAGCCAAGGAGCUAAAGGGAUCUGCAACCCUAUAGGUGGAACAACAUUAUGAGCUAACCAGUACCCCAGAGCUCUUGACUCUAGCUGCAUAUAUAUCAAAAGAUGGCCUAGUCGGCCAUCACUGGAAAGAGAGGCCCAUUGGACUUGCAAACUUUAUAUGCCCCAGUACAGGGGAAUACCAGGGCCAAAAAGGGGGAGUGGGUGGGCAGGGGAGUGGGGGUGGGUGGAUAUGGGGGACUUUUGGUAUAGCAUUGGAAAUGUAAAUGAGUUAAAUACCUAAUAAAAAAUGGAAAAAAAAAAAAAAAAACCACUGUCACUUCUGUGUAUGGGAGACCUGUGUCUGGACCCCAAGCCUCUGUACAAGACCACAGUGUCCUGCCCUUUAUACACAGCUGUCCCUCUGUUCCUAUCUGUGCCUUUCUGCCAUAGGCACUUUGAUAAGCUAAAUGUGUGCACUUAUUUUCAGAAUAUUUCAUAGGUUUGAUCCUUAGCAUGCUUUUUUGUUGGGUUCUGCACAAAGACACUGAAAAUCCUCUUCAGGCAUUCUGUAAGUGAUUGCUUUGUCAUUUUCCAUUUUUUUCACCGCCUAACAAGGCUCAGGUUUGGUCAAGAUUCCUUUUUAAAAAACAGAAUUACUGUAGAAACAAGUUGUUAGAUUUCUCUUCCCUUUUUCCUAUCUCUGUCAUUAUUUUGAUGUAUGCAAUAGUUUAGAGAAAAAGAAAAGGUCUUGGGCUUAGAAUUUUCAAUUUUGUAAAAUUUAGCAUGUAUCCUCUAAUAAGGAAAUGCUCAGUUAAACAAACACACAAUGUUCCAGAUUCCAACAGUUUCUGCACAGAUAAAAGGAUGUAGCAUGCUCAUGUGACCUUGAGGGUGGGUGUUGGGAUUUGGGCUGGAUGAGCUUCAUCCUAAGAUGAAGGAGCACUAAUCAAAAUAUUUACCAGUCACCUGACCAUGCUUCCAUUGCUGGCUCAUCAAAGCAGACACCUACUGGGCAAGUGUCCAAAAGCUGAUGACCGAAGCCUAUGUUAGCUCCUUAGUUACUGCACUGUACACUAAUCCAGGACUUCUGGGAAAGAGAAUAAAGGCAGGACCACCCUAAAACUCUGAAAACAAUUUUGUCUGUUCUCAGCCAAAGAAGAGGUUUCUGAAUUAAAUUUAUAAUAUAUCUAACCCAAAGUAUAUUUUAUUAUAUUUAAAGAUGAUAGUAGGACCUCCUUCAUUCCAUUUUAAAUAUACUAUGGGAAUUCAAAGCAUGAGAAUUAAGCAAGAAUUCAGAUGUGACUGUGGAACAGAGUUCUCCACACUUAUACCAUGACACCAUGCUAAACAUAUUGUCAAAACCACAUGGAAAAUGUGGUCCAUUGUUGUACUGACCUUUCACUAACAAGCUUGAAAAAUCAAUUUACAAAACUGUUGAGGAUAUACAAUAAGCAUGUUAAUGCCUUAUGAAGAAAAUAUCAGGCUCCAUCCCAUAUUGUACAUUUACAUGAGGAACUUGCCAGAAAAAAAAAGAAAAAAAAAAGAAAAAACAAAAAACAAAGGCAAAAUCUGUAUUUGGGUUUCAAAUUAUUUGCUUCAUUGUAAUUGAUUUUUCUACAUCCACGAAACAUGAAAAUCUCUAAUUAAACCUCAUAGAAAUUGCUCAUGGGCAAUAAACCAUAUGAUAAAAUGUCCAAAAUCAACAUUGAAAUUAUAAUGUGGCAAUUAAAAUUUAAAUAAUGACAAAAUAAAGCUGGGGCAGCUCAAGUAAUCAAUUAUAUUAAAGUUUUAAUCUGUACUCAUCUCAUUAGCUUAUCAAUAUAAUCAAAGUUAAUAGGUAGGUUUUUAAUUAGAGGAUUAUUAUACUUAAAGUUAUUUUUAAAAUUAGUUUUAUGUGACAGAAAACCAACUAACUGUGGACAGUAGCAUGAGUUUUCCUUACACACCCUCUCGGGUCCAGGGCUAAAUUUUAAUUGUACUUUAGGAACCAUAAUUUAUCAUUUGGAGGCUAAAUUUACAAAUGUUAUUGGUUAACUACAGUACUUUCAAUUCUUCUGGUAGGAGUAUACUUCCUCAUUUGCAUCCUAGUGUGUGUGGUAUCCAUGUAUCUGCUUUCUUUAUAACGAAAAGGACACAUAUGUACUUCAUGUAACUAUUACAUAUGCUUUCCUAUUAGUUCACAUGCCACAUCAAUUAAGAUUUCAUUUCACAUCCACCUACCAUUUUCGCUUGGAAGGCAUUUCCUGGUACUGAUAUUUUGUUGAUAAACUAUUCUUAUACAGCAUAUACAUAUUCUUAUAUAGUAUACAUAUAUUCUUAUAUAGUAUAUGAGUGUAACUAUUAUAUGCUAUUCAUUCAUAAAGAUCUUAUUUUUAUCUAGUACUUAGCAUAAUCAAUUAACUCUAGCAAAACCUAAAAGAGAACAAACAUUUUAUUAUCUUAACUAUUAAAAUUUCCCUAAAAGGUAUCCCUAUUUAUACCACACAGUGUGCCUCCCAGUUAAAUAUUAAACAAACAAACAAACAAACAAAUAAACAAAAAACUCAUGCACUCAAUUUAAACAUAUAUUUGACAUUAUAGGUUCAAUAUGACUCUCUUUCCAUAAUUUCUUUUUCCUCAUUGGCAUUACAUUGUUACUAUCUGACAUAUAGGUUGGCUUUUUCCUAAUCCUUCCAUAAUUCUCUCAAACAAAUUAUCUAAAUCUUGCUAAUGUUAUAUCACCCUCACUAAUCAUCAGUCUAGAUUAGUCUACAAAUGAAUACAGAAGAGUGGUGUAGACAUACACACACUGCACAUACAUAUAUAAGACUAUGUUCAGAAUACAAUUACUGGUCCUUCAGACCAACCAAAUAACAGAUUAUUGGUGGGGUCCAGUCUGUAUUUUACAUUCCAGGUGAUUUUUGAUGCACAUAAAUUUGAAAAAUAAAAGAUUGCCUUAGCCUCAGUAAAACAAGCAGAAAAAAAUGAAAGCAAAUAUAAAGCAAAAUAUUUUGGCUUGAAGAAAACAAUAUUUUUUACAACUCCGAGCUAAUAAUGUUCAGCAUACUAAAAUGGACAGUAAGUUUCCUAUUGCUAAAGUUAGUAACUAAGGUUAGAAAUUAUUCAAAUGUCAGUAGUAUGUUUUUUUUUCUUGGAAUAGAUUACAUACGGCCCCAACUAAAUCAUGAGCAUAGUCAAAGCUCCUUCAGCACAGACAGUAAAAUGUAGGGAUGCAUCCACAUGAAGCAACUGCAAUGGUCCUAUGAGUGGAUCCUGUAGUCAUUCUAUCAUAGAGCAAAGCCAUUCUGGGGACUCAUGUGGAAAUGAAUUUAUAAAGGCUCUAAGCAGAAGCUUAAAUUUUGCUAUAAGCAUCAUUAUGAAUAAAUGCCAAAAUGUAAUCAGUGGUAUACACCAUCACAUUUUAGGCAUAUUCAAAAGGGACUCACUUAAGUUUUUACCUACCCCAAAGUAGGCCAGACCUUCCUUAGACCAAUUAGAUUUCCAAGGAAUAUAGAGAUUGCCUUCAAUAUAUAUCUAUUUUUUAGUAUUUUUCAUAAAGUUAGAUAGACAAUAAAUUAUGAGAUCAUCCAAAGAUUACAAAUGAGUUACUCUGUGUUUAUGAGAUAGGAUCUAACCAGGUAGUCCAGGGUACCCUGGCAAUCUUGGUCUCCUUCCUCAGGCUUCCAAGGGCUAAUGUUACUAGACCCAACUCCCUCUCAUUGUAACCAGAAUUCCACUGCCUAUUAUAGAGGCACAUAAUAGAAUGACCAUGGUACCUGAAAUCACCACUUGGCAUCAAGAUUCUUGUGCCAAGGGGUCAAUCAAUGCCAACCUAAACAGAUGAGUAUUUUCUAGUGCCUUAUAGGUAUCUUACUGUACCUUGCUGAAGUAUAUUUAAAGUUUACUUACAUCCAGGCAUCUCAAGGAACACACAUGUGAAAUAAAAUCCAAGCUUAAUUAAUGUGAUAAAAUGAAAGAAUUAUCAGUAUACAGUGGGUUUUAGUUACUUGUAAAAACACUUUUUGUGUCUAGUUCCUCCAAUGAAACUCAAGAGAAAUACCAAAGAUUUUCCUCUUACCAUGUUCAGACAACAUCCAUAUAUAUAUAUAUAUAUAUAUAUAUGUAUGUAUAUAUAUAUGUAAUGAGGUCUAGAUGGAAUCUGGGUGAAUUUCCCUUAAGGCAGCAGUUGUUUUUUCUUUUUGUGAUACACUUGGCUAGACCAGGACAGUAUAUUCACUUUUGCUAGCUCAUGCCACUAGGUCCCAAGCUCCACCAGAAAGACCUUUACUCUCUUUGUCAACAUUAUGUUUGUCUGGCCCUGAAGGGCUUGUGUUGUGCACAAACUACAACUAUCUUUGCACAGAGUCCUGGAGUCUCCCAUUAAUCAGGCUAGGACCUGCUUAGUCAAGUCAAGAUAUGGGUGAAAUCCGUGUUGCUUCCUCACAUUCACCAAAUGUCAAAAACACACUAACAACUCUAUGUUCAGUUGCAUGCAUUAGCAACAAGGCAUACAGGCGGUGUUAUUGCUUGUCUUUGGUGCUAUUUACUGAGGAUUUUAAAGGAAAAUAAAGAUAAAUAAAACUCAGCUCCCAUAUCUCCACAAAGCAUGAGAGUAAAUGGCAUUCAGGGAAUUCAAAUGACAGAAGAACAGUCUGAGAUGCAUGGGCUCCAGCACACAUAUGGCCUGAGUAUCAGUAUUCUUUACUCUGUAAAGGAUGGGCUGGAGAGUCCCUUUUGUGGGGUUUCUGGCACAUCUAGAGGUGGACUAUCAUAGUUCUGGAGCUGAGACCAAGAAUAUGAAGAUCACGUGCAAUGGACUUCUAGGAUCACAUGUCAUACGACCUACAUGACAUCUGGACUAUGAUGAGUACUAACAUAUUGACACAUGCAUUUUUUUUGUAAACAGUCUCAGCUAUUUAUGUUAAUUUCAGUGAAAUCUCUAGAUAUAUGCAGUUUCUAUUACUCUGUUUUACAAUAUCUCUCUAUGCUUCCUUCAGAUUGAAAAAGACCCAAACUUUAAAUAUUUGCUUGAUAUGAUAAAUGUUAAAGUAAAGCACAUUUCUGAAAAGACUGUUGUGAUGCAUGGCUUGUAUAUCUUGUGUCAAGAUUUGAGGGGCUUAUAACUCACUCAUAGCAAGUUUUCUAUCAGGGAGGCCAAGCACAUAUGAUUCUAACAUGCCGUCCAUCUCAAAUGACUCUGCAGUGGCAAGUGUCAAAACAACCUAACUCUAUUCUCAUGUUAUUACUUAUUGUUGUCAGUGGCCUGUGGAGACAAGGUGUUUUUUUUUUUUUAACUAAUAAAUACAGAAAGCCUUCUUCUAUAUAUGUAUCCAGAGAUCAUGUGUGAUGAGACUAUUCUAUAUUUUCUUUAAGAAAUUCAAUGUAAUUAAUGGAAGACCUACUCUGCCCAUGAACUAGGGAACAGAACAGUUCAGGACCAAGGAAGAAAUGACCAAAUAGUAUAAAACAAACCAACAACAUUUUCCAAGACUUCUGUAAACUGCCUAUCUAAAUCCACACUUGAUGAGAGAGACACUAAUGCCAUCACACAACAUCCAUGGCUCAUUCUUAGAUACAUGGGACGUUUGAUUUGCACAGGAAUCUGGGAGAACAUAAACAUUUUAAUACUCCCAUCAUAAUGGCUUCGUGCUGUACGGAUGUUUUAGACUUAAAGAAAAAUGUGUAUGAUCUGAAUGCAUGCUGAGAUGUAUUACUUCUGAUAUUUACCAUUUGGACAGUAGAGGGUAGAACAAUACUUAAUAAUAUUUUCAUUUCUUUAUAAUAGGAUGCAGGCCUUCCACUCAGAGCUACCACAGAAGGCAUUUCCCCUCACUGAUUCCUUGUGCUUCAGUUUGGCAAAGCUCCAUACUGUGUUUUGGUGCGUUAACAGACAGAGCUACACCAAGAAUGACUUAAGUCUAGCUACUGGUUCCAGAGCCAGCAUUUAACACUGACAGGGUGAUGCACACAAUUCAGGAAAUUGCAUCUUUUAAAACCAAUUCUCUACACAAACUGUAGAAAAGGUAGUUUAAAACAGAAUAGGAUGAGAAAAAAAAUGUCUUCAAUCCUCAAAGGCAGCAUGAACAAGGAUGUAUGGUUGCCAGCUUAGUCUCAGCAUUGCAAUUUCUUUCUGUUCAGUUUCCUACUUCAAAGUCUUACCAAUCUCCUUAUCACAGGUGAGGAAACAGAAGUUCAGAAGUAAAUGUUUUCUUAAUGUGGCAUAGGUUGUUGAUGAAGUAAGUCAUUAGAAUGUCUGAAUCUAACACAAAAGUUUUGUUAGUCUAAAAUGUGUUUACACCUACUAUCACUAGCAUGCCUCGUGUUUCAGACAAGAGAAUUCAUAUCGUAUGCUUGGAUUUUAGUACUAAAAAGCAUUUAACAAGUUGACAUGAUUUUCACAAGUUCUAUUACAUGUGUCUCUCGUGAUUUCUGUUGUUGUUUCCUUUCUAGUCCUAUCCAAGUUAUUCCAGAAUUGCUGCAAACUGCUAUAACUAUAAAUGAGCAUCUCUCACCAAAGGAGAUGUUGUCAACAAGGCACUCCCAAGGUGUAGAGUUGUGUUACCCACUACAAGCUACAAUUCACAAAUCUCCUGCGGCAUGAGAGCGCAAGAGUCAUCAGGAGCAGGUCCUUGUCAGUAGAUCUCAAGGGACCAAUUCCCAUUAGAAAUGCUACAAAGAUUGCUUAAUGUGAGAUAGAUAUGGCCUCAGCUAGAAACCUGGUAUGGAAUAGCUGAAUACUUGUUUUACACACCUUAAAUCAACCACAGAGUGGUUGACAAGAUAAUUAAAUAAGAGUCCCAGUCAAAUAAGAGUAUUUAAAAAAAACGAGCCAGAGUUGUGGAGGCAGAGAAUUAAUAUUCAGAGAAUACUUAUGAGUGUUUUAAAUCUGAGACAUAUGUUUUCUCAAUUACACCUUACUAGAAAAAAUAGUUAUCAUAACUAUAUAGAUAAGGUACUAAAGCUGGUGAAUGAGUCCCCAGAAUGACCCAGUCUUGAAAUCCAUAUCUCUCCUCUAUGUCAAUGGCCAACUAAAUGGCAAUGUGUUGAUACAAAGUCAUGCACUUGCUUAGAAUAUAUACAUCUUAUGGGCAGGAAUAAUCUGUAAAUGUUUGUUCUGGGUACCAAUUUACUUAACAGCACCAAAUAAUGAACUGAAUUAUUUCUGACUAUAAAUCCAAUGAAAAUCAGAGUGCUCACUCAUGUUUAGAAAGGCUAAUAGCCUUGUCCUGCCUUGAUACAUGUAAACCUUACCUUAGAGUACACUCCAUGCCAAAGGAAUUUACAUGGUACAAGUGAUAUACUGAGUUCUCAGUAAUUAACUUUUCUCAUCCUUAUUACUCUCAGCUCAUAAGUGUUUAGUUCCUUCCACAUUCUCUUUUUCAAUGUCUUGGUGUUAAUAUGUCUUUGGCCUUAUACUCUCUGUAACCUUUUGUAUAUUUCAUUGCAUUCAUGAACAGGUAUCUGAUCCUAAGCUUACACUGGUCAUUACUGUUCUGAUCAUGUUUGUUUGUUUAGCUUUAGCUCCUUCAUUACUAUCAAUUUAAAAGAAAAGUCUCAUUCAUGCAGACAGCCCUAGCUUUUCCACGAUAAGGAUUUCUUCCUCCCAUGUUCUUUGUUUCUUGAAUAUUGCCAAAGGUUCACCUCACAAAGGCAGGUUUCCCAGCAUUUAUUCAUAAAAAUACCAUGGGUAAAUUACACCAGAAAUUGUUGAACGCAAUUUCUUAGACUUUAUUCUGUAAUGAUAUAUUUAGUUAGAGAUUAAAAUGGCUAUGUGUGGCCUUAUUGGAAGAGGUGUGGACUUGUUAGAGAAAGUAUCACUGUGGAGACUAGGAUUUGAGGUCUUAUAUAUGCUCAAGCUCUGCCCAGUGUGAAACAAAUCCAAUCCUCUACUGCUGCCAGCAGAACAAAAUGUGGAACACAGGGCUCUUCCAGCACCAUGUUUGCCUGCACACUCUCUGCUUCCUGCCAUGAUGAUAAUGGGCUGAACCUCUAAAACUAUAAGCCAGCCCCAAUUAAAUGUUUUCCUUUAUACGAGCUGAAGGGGUUUGCUGCCCCAUAGGAGGAACAACAAUGUGAACCAAGCAGAACCCGCAGAGCUCCUAGGUACUAAACCACAAAAAUGUACACAUGGAGGGACCCAUGGCUCUAGCCAUAUAUGUAGCAGAGGAUGGCCUUGUUAGUUAUCAAUGGGAGGAGAUGACUUUGGUCCUGUGAAGGCUAGAUGUCCCAGUGUAGGGGAAUUCCAGGACCAGGAAUCGGGAGUGGGUGGGUUGGAAAGCAGGAGGAGGGGGGAUGUGGAUAGUGGGUUUUCGGGGGGAAAAACCAGGAGAGGGGAUAACAUUAGAAAUGUAAAUAAGGAAAAUGUCUAACAAAAAAAAUUAAAAGAAAAAGGGUUGACUUCCUCCUAAGCUUCCAGCUUUUCCAUAAUUCAAUCACAGGGUUCAACCAGCUUUAUCCAUUGGUUGGGUAUAAAUAUCUUCACCUGACUCUUUCAGCUGCUUGUUGGGACUUUUGGAAGGCAGUCAUGAUAGACCCAUGCAUGGAGGAGGGCGACCCUAUUAGAAGGAACAUCAGUCUCAACUAACCUGAACUCCCAAGGUCUCUCAGACACUGAGCCACCAACCAGACAGCAUAUACCAGCUGAGAAGAUGCACCUAACCCUCAAGAGACUUGAUGCCUCAGGGAGUGAGGAGGUCUAGUGGAGUGGGGGUGGGGACAACCUCCUGGAGAUGGGUAUGUGGGAGGUAUGGGAUCUAGAACAGUUAGAGGGUGGACUGGGAGGGAAAUAAAAUCUGGAUUGUAAAAAAAAGAUUAAAGAAUUUAAAAAAAUAGAGUUGCUGUGGUCAUGGUGUCUUUUCACAGCAAUAAAACCCAACUAAGACUAAAAUUAAUACCAGCAUAAUGGGAUAUUGCUGUGACAGGCCUGACCAUGUCUAUGGGGUGGGGUUUAUGGAAGAAUUUGGAACUUUGGGUUUGAAAAACCGCUGAGUGUUGAAAUCUGAGUAGGAUUUUCUAUAGGAAAUUUGAAGAUAAGAAUGUUAAACGCAUUCCAGUAGAUGGAGGCCUGGCUUGUGCAAUUUCAGAGGGAAGAUUAAAGACUUUAUCAGGGCUGUUUUCUGUUUUGAUUUAAGAUUUUGUGAUUUUGAUUUGAUGGUUUGAACAAUCAGCUGUGAUUAACAAGAUAUCAGAUCUACUGAAGUGAAAGGUUUAUGUUUUUAAUGGGGCAAUUGAUGUUAGUCAGACUUAAGAAAUUAUAGUGAUUUAGAAGAGACCAACAUGACUGAGGUGAAAUUGUCCAGAAAGUAUUUUCUGAGAGCACAAAGUGCUGUAUUCCAGAGGCAGCCAAGGUUGUAUCCUGUGCUGGGAGCUGGAGUUGGUAAUGUGUAAUAGUCACACAGAAGAUAGUGAUUCUGACAUCACAAAGGGGUCAUGGGAAGGAGCUGAGGCUUGACACUGUAAGAGGCCAGGAGAGUCCACUGGUGAAGGUUCAGCUUCAGUGUCAGUUGAUCAUCGAGGACUGAAAGGGAUGUGGCAAAGAAGUUGAGGCUUAGCACCUUGAAGAACAUCUAUGAGAGAUGACUAGUUAAAGUUCAGCCCAUGUGCACCAGAAGACAUCAUUAUUUUGGAUAGAUGCAAGUACCAUGGGGGUAACCACCAAGACCUUAAGAAGCAGUGGAGUGGAGUCAGCCUAGAAGAAAAGCUUUGUGUGCUACAGAGGGUAGAGCUGGAGAAAUGACACAAAAUUCUCCAGUCUUCUUUGGAGAGACCCAGAAGAUUGUGUUGAUCCCAGACUUAGGACAUUGAGUUAAUUAUACUGAAGAAGCCUAGUUUUGUUUGGCUCAGAUUAUGACUGUGCCCUGGUUCUUUCUUCUUAAAGAAGGUAUUAAUUUUGAUUUUUUUUAUAGGAGCCCACAGUUGAAAGACCUGGAACAUUUACAGGAGAUUUUGAAUUUUUAGAGAUUGGAUAUUUUCAAGAGAUUGAAAUUUUAAUGUGUUUGAAUUUGUAAAUAUUGUGGGACUUUAUUCAUAUUGUUAAUGUGAGAUCUUGGGGAUGAAUAAGAAAGGAAGGGUUGUGGCUUAAUAGUGAUACAUUUGUGUGUUGUGUUGACAAGGGGUAAGUUGUACUGGCUGGUUACAUGUCAACUUGACUCUAUUGAGUUAUCAGAGAGCAAAGAGCCUCAGCUGAGAAAAUUUAUCCAUGAGAUCCAUCUGUCAGGCAUUUUUUGAAUUUAUGAUUGACCCCGGGGGGGGGGGGUCAACACAAUGUUGAUGGUACCAUUCCUCAGCUUGUAGUCCUAGGUUCUAUAAGAAUGCGGGCUGAGACAAAGUGUGGAAUAGAGCCUGAAGGAAAGGCUAUCCAGAGACUGCCCUACAUGGGACUCAUCCCAUAAACAGACACCAUACCCAGACACUAUUGCAGGUGCCAAGAAGUGCUUCCUAACAGGAGCCUGAUAUAGCUGACUUCCUAGAAGAUCUGCCAGAGCCUGACAAAUACAGAGGCAUAUACUUACAGUCAACCUCUGGACUGAGCACAGGGUCCCCAAUGGAGGAGAUAGAGAAAGGACUGAAGGAGCUGUAAGGGUUUGCAACGCCAUAGGAAGAACAACAAGAUCAAGCAACCAGACUCCCCAGAAUUCCCAGGGACAAAAGCACCAACCAAAGAGUACACAUGGAGGGAUCCAUGGCUCCAGGUGCAAGUGUAGCAGAGAAUGGCCUUGUUGGGCAUCAAUAGGAAAGGCCCUUAGUCUGGUGAGGGCUCGAUUCCCCAGUGCAGAGGAAUGCCACUUUGGCAGGUGGGAGUGGGUAGAUGGGGGAGCACCAUCAUAAAAGCAGGGGGAGGACAGAUAGUAUAGGGAGCUCCUGAGGGGAAACCAGGAAAGGGGAUAACUUUGAAAUGUAAAUGAAUAAAAUAUCCAAAAAAAAAAAAAAAAAAGAAAAAGAUAUAGAAAAAGAAAAAGAAAUAGAAAAAGAAAAGAAAGAAAAAGAAAAAGAAAAAGAAGGAAAAGGAAAAGGAAAAGAGAAAAAGAAAAAGAAAAUGAAAAAAAAGAAUGCAGGCUGAGCAAUCUCUGAGUAGCAAACAUGUAAGCAGCACCCUCCAUCACCUCUUGCCUUCAGGUUCCAGUCCUGCUUGAGUCCUGUCCUGACAGCCUCUAUUGAUCAACUAUGUUCUGGAAGUGUAAGCAGGUAUUUAGUUCCAGUGCAUGGACCUUGUUUUGUCAUACCACAGUGUUGACUCAUCUCAAGCAUACAGUUCUACGGGAAUGACCUUUGGACUGCAGUUCUACAAUGUUGACCUUUCCUCUGCAGUUUCACGGUGAUGACUUUGGGUCUGCAUUUUUAAGACCUUGGGUCUAUUACAGCAAAGUGUUCACCACAGACUAACAUGGACAACCUUUGAGCAUCUUCAUGACAAUGGUGCUAUAUGUAUGAAAACGUCUGAAAGAAAAUAUCCUUUCUACA